ACUCAAAGGAAUUGACGGGGGCCCGCACAAGCAGCGGAGCGUGUGGUUUAAUUCGAGGCUACACGAAGAACCUUACCUGGGGUUGACAUGAGGCUAGUAGGGAAGGGAAACCGGACCGACCCGCAAGGGCGGCCUCACAGGUGCUGCAUGGCUGUCGUCAGCUCGUGCCGUGAGGUGUUAGGUUAAGUCCUGUAACGAGCGCAACCCUCGGGUCUAGUUACAGGUAGUCUAGACCGACUGCCCGUGACAAGCGGGAGGAAGGUGGGGAUGACGUCAAGUCAGCAUGGCCUUUAUCUCCAGGGCUACACACACGCUACAAUGGCCGGUACAAUGGGUCGCCAAGCCGCAAGGCGGAGCCAAUCCAGGCAAAGCCGGUCGUAGUUCGGAUUGGGGGCUGCAACCCGCCCCCAUGAAGUCGGAGUUGCUAGUAACCGCGCAUCAGCUAUGGCGCGGUGAAUACGUUCCCGGGCCUUGUACACACCGCCCGU
RNAcentral lists this ribosomal RNA (488 nucleotides) under uncultured bacterium. RNAcentral's name for it is "partial 16S ribosomal RNA". It matches the Rfam family "Bacterial small subunit ribosomal RNA", at positions 899 to 1397 of the family's 1533-position model. The record is from RNAcentral.